RNAcentral lists this non-coding RNA (21 nucleotides) under Arabidopsis thaliana (thale cress). Lineage: Eukaryota; Viridiplantae; Streptophyta; Magnoliopsida; Brassicales; Brassicaceae. The record is from RNAcentral.
ACUCUCUUGUUCUGAAGUUGC